RNAcentral lists this small nuclear RNA (137 nucleotides) under Fukomys damarensis (Damara mole-rat). RNAcentral describes it as "U2 spliceosomal RNA". It matches the Rfam family "U2 spliceosomal RNA". Rfam says of the family: U2 is a small nuclear RNA (snRNA) component of the spliceosome (involved in pre-mRNA splicing). Complementary binding between U2 snRNA (in an area lying towards the 5' end but 3' to hairpin I) and the branchpoint sequence (BPS) of the intron results the bulging out of an unpaired adenosine, on the BPS, which initiates a nucleophilic attack at the intronic 5' splice site, thus starting the first of two transesterification reactions that mediate splicing. Lineage: Eukaryota; Metazoa; Chordata; Mammalia; Rodentia; Bathyergidae. The record is from Rfam by way of RNAcentral.
GGGGCUUCUCGGCCUUUUGGCUAAGAUCAAGUGUAGUAUCUGUGAGGUUCAUGGGGAAUUCUCCAUAGGGCAGUGUGUCUUUUUCAUUACCCCUACUUAUAAAUCAUCUCCUAGAUUUUUAUGAAAAUAGACCUCUA